GGGUUGUGAGGUUAAGCGACUAAGCGUACACGGUGGAUGCCCUGGCAGUCAGAGGCGAUGAAGGACGUGCUAAUCUGCGAUAAGCGUCGGUAAGGUGAUAUGAACCGUUAUAACCGGCGAUUUCCGAAUGGGGAAACCCAGUGUGUUUCGACACACUAUCAUUAACUGAAUCCAUAGGUUAAUGAGGCGAACCGGGGGAACUGAAACAUCUAAGUACCCCGAGGAAAAGAAAUCAACCGAGAUUCCCCCAGUAGCGGCGAGCGAACGGGGAGCAGCCCAGAGCCUGAAUCAGUGUGUGUGUUAGUGGAAGCGUCUGGAAAGGCGCGCGAUACAGGGUGACAGCCCCGUACACAAAAAUGCACAUACUGUGAGCUCGAUGAGUAGGGCGGGACACGUGGUAUCCUGUCUGAAUAUGGGGGGACCAUCCUCCAAGGCUAAAUACUCCUGACUGACCGAUAGUGAACCAGUACCGUGAGGGAAAGGCGAAAAGAACCCCGGCGAGGGGAGUGAAAAAGAACCUGAAACCGUGUACGUACAAGCAGUGGGAGCCUCUUUAUGGGGUGACUGCGUACCUUUUGUAUAAUGGGUCAGCGACUUAUAUUCUGUAGCAAGGUUAACCGAAUAGGGGAGCCGAAGGGAAACCGAGUCUUAACUGGGCGUUAAGUUGCAGGGUAUAGACCCGAAACCCGGUGAUCUAGCCAUGGGCAGGUUGAAGGUUGGGUAACACUAACUGGAGGACCGAACCGACUAAUGUUGAAAAAUUAGCGGAUGACUUGUGGCUGGGGGUGAAAGGCCAAUCAAACCGGGAGAUAGCUGGUUCUCCCCGAAAGCUAUUUAGGUAGCGCCUCGUGAAUUCAUCUCCGGGGGUAGAGCACUGUUUCGGCAAGGGGGUCAUCCCGACUUACCAACCCGAUGCAAACUGCGAAUACCGGAGAAUGUUAUCACGGGAGACACACGGCGGGUGCUAACGUCCGUCGUGAAGAGGGAAACAACCCAGACCGCCAGCUAAGGUCCCAAAGUCAUGGUUAAGUGGGAAACGAUGUGGGAAGGCCCAGACAGCCAGGAUGUUGGCUUAGAAGCAGCCAUCAUUUAAAGAAAGCGUAAUAGCUCACUGGUCGAGUCGGCCUGCGCGGAAGAUGUAACGGGGCUAAACCAUGCACCGAAGCUGCGGCAGCGACGCUUAUGCGUUGUUGGGUAGGGGAGCGUUCUGUAAGCCUGUGAAGGUGUGCUGUGAGGCAUGCUGGAGGUAUCAGAAGUGCGAAUGCUGACAUAAGUAACGAUAAAGCGGGUGAAAAGCCCGCUCGCCGGAAGACCAAGGGUUCCUGUCCAACGUUAAUCGGGGCAGGGUGAGUCGACCCCUAAGGCGAGGCCGAAAGGCGUAGUCGAUGGGAAACAGGUUAAUAUUCCUGUACUUGGUGUUACUGCGAAGGGGGGACGGAGAAGGCUAUGUUGGCCGGGCGACGGUUGUCCCGGUUUAAGCGUGUAGGCUGGUUUUCCAGGCAAAUCCGGAAAAUCAAGGCUGAGGCGUGAUGACGAGGCACUACGGUGCUGAAGCAACAAAUGCCCUGCUUCCAGGAAAAGCCUCUAAGCAUCAGGUAACAUCAAAUCGUACCCCAAACCGACACAGGUGGUCAGGUAGAGAAUACCAAGGCGCUUGAGAGAACUCGGGUGAAGGAACUAGGCAAAAUGGUGCCGUAACUUCGGGAGAAGGCACGCUGAUAUGUAGGUGAAGUCCCUUGCGGAUGGAGCUGAAAUCAGUCGAAGAUACCAGCUGGCUGCAACUGUUUAUUAAAAACACAGCACUGUGCAAACACGAAAGUGGACGUAUACGGUGUGACGCCUGCCCGGUGCCGGAAGGUUAAUUGAUGGGGUUAGCGGUAACGCGAAGCUCUUGAUCGAAGCCCCGGUAAACGGCGGCCGUAACUAUAACGGUCCUAAGGUAGCGAAAUUCCUUGUCGGGUAAGUUCCGACCUGCACGAAUGGCGUAAUGAUGGCCAGGCUGUCUCCACCCGAGACUCAGUGAAAUUGAACUCGCUGUGAAGAUGCAGUGUACCCGCGGCAAGACGGAAAGACCCCGUGAACCUUUACUAUAGCUUGACACUGAACAUUGAGCCUUGAUGUGUAGGAUAGGUGGGAGGCUUUGAAGUGUGGACGCCAGUCUGCAUGGAGCCGACCUUGAAAUACCACCCUUUAAUGUUUGAUGUUCUAACGUUGGCCCCUGAUCGGGGUUGCGGACAGUGUCUGGUGGGUAGUUUGACUGGGGCGGUCUCCUCCUAAAGAGUAACGGAGGAGCACGAAGGUUGGCUAAUCCUGGUCGGACAUCAGGAGGUUAGUGCAAUGGCAUAAGCCAGCUUGACUGCGAGCGUGACGGCGCGAGCAGGUGCGAAAGCAGGUCAUAGUGAUCCGGUGGUUCUGAAUGGAAGGGCCAUCGCUCAACGGAUAAAAGGUACUCCGGGGAUAACAGGCUGAUACCGCCCAAGAGUUCAUAUCGACGGCGGUGUUUGGCACCUCGAUGUCGGCUCAUCACAUCCUGGGGCUGAAGUAGGUCCCAAGGGUAUGGCUGUUCGCCAUUUAAAGUGGUACGCGAGCUGGGUUUAGAACGUCGUGAGACAGUUCGGUCCCUAUCUGCCGUGGGCGCUGGAGAACUGAGGGGGGCUGCUCCUAGUACGAGAGGACCGGAGUGGACGCAUCACUGGUGUUCGGGUUGUCAUGCCAAUGGCACUGCCCGGUAGCUAAAUGCGGAAGAGAUAAGUGCUGAAAGCAUCUAAGCACGAAACUUGCCCCGAGAUGAGUUCUCCCUGACUCCUUGAGAGUCCUGAAGGAACGUUGAAGACGACGACGUUGAUAGGCCGGGUGUGUAAGCGCAGCGAUGCGUUGAGCUAACCGGUACUAAUGAACCGUGAGGCUUAACCUUACAACGCCGAAG
RNAcentral lists this ribosomal RNA (2926 nucleotides) under Escherichia coli. RNAcentral describes it as "23S ribosomal RNA". It matches the Rfam family "Bacterial large subunit ribosomal RNA". Lineage: Bacteria; Pseudomonadati; Pseudomonadota; Gammaproteobacteria; Enterobacterales; Enterobacteriaceae. The record is from RNAcentral.